This 412-nucleotide ribosomal RNA is filed under the name uncultured microorganism. RNAcentral's name for it is "bacterial SSU rRNA". It matches the Rfam family "Archaeal small subunit ribosomal RNA", at positions 459 to 872 of the family's 1478-position model. The record is from RNAcentral.
CAGCCGCCGCGGUAAUACCAGCCCCGCGAGUGGUCGGGACGGUUAUUGGGCCUAAAGCGCCCGUAGCCGGCCCGGCAAGUCCCUCCUUAAAGCCUCGGGCCCAACCCGAGGACGGGGGGGAUACUGCCGGGCUAGGGGGCGGGAGAGGCCGGCGGUACUCCCGGGGUAGGGGCGAAAUCCGUUAAUCCCGGGUGGACCACCAGUGGCGAAGGCGGCCGGCUGGAACGCGCCCGACGGUGAGGGGCGAAAGCCGGGGGAGCGAACCGGAUUAGAUACCCGGGUAGUCCCGGCUGUAAACGAUGCGGGCUAGCUGUUGGGCGGGCUUAGAGCCCGCCCAGUGGCGCAGGGAAGCCGUUAAGUCCGCCGCCUGGGGAGUACGGCCGCAAGGCUGAAACUUAAAGGAAUUGGCGGG